AACAAAAACAUGUCCUUUUGAUAUUUAUAUAAGGUCUGACCUGCCCACUGAUUAAUUGAAUGGCCGCAGUAUUUUGACUGUGCAAAGGUAGCAUAAUCAUUAGUUUUUUAAUUAAAAGCUUGUAUGAAGGGUUGGACGAGGUAAAAUCUGUCUCUGUUUAAUUUAUUUUAGAAUUUAAUUUUUAAGUUAAAAAGCUUAAAUUAUUAUAAAAGACGAGAAGACCCUAUAGAUCUUUAUAUUAUUAUAAAUAGUUUUAAUUAGGAAUAUUUUAUUUUUUAUUUAUAUUAAUAUUUUAUUGGGGUAAUAAAAAGAUUAAAUAAAUUCUUUUUAAAAUUUAAUACUAAUUAGUAAUUAUGUGAUCCAAUAUUUUUGAUUAUAAGAUUAAGUUACCUUAGGGAUAACAGCGUAAUUUUUUUUGAGAGUUCAUAUCGAUAAAAAAGUUUGCGACCUCGAUGUUG
RNAcentral lists this ribosomal RNA (458 nucleotides) under Copelatus sp. BI-2011. Its description in RNAcentral is "partial 16S ribosomal RNA". It matches the Rfam family "Bacterial large subunit ribosomal RNA", at positions 1806 to 2534 of the family's 2925-position model. Lineage: Eukaryota; Metazoa; Arthropoda; Insecta; Coleoptera; Dytiscidae. The record is from RNAcentral.